CCUACGGGGAGCAGCAGUGGGGAAUAUUGGACAAUGGGCGAAAGCCUGAUCCAGCCAUGCCGCGUGUGUGAAGAAGGCCUUCGGGUUGUAAAGCACUUUCAGUGGGGAAGAAAGCCUUGGGGCUAAUACCCUCGAGGAAGGACAUCACCCACAGAAGAAGCACCGGCUAACUCCGUGCCAGCAGCCGCGGUAAUACGGAGGGUGCGAGCGUUAAUCGGAAUUACUGGGCGUAAAGCGCGCGUAGGCGGUCUGAUAAGCCGGUUGUGAAAGCCCCGGGCUCAACCUGGGAACGGCAUCCGGAACUGGCAGGCUAGAGUGCAGGAGAGGAGGGUAGAAUUCCAGGUGUAGCGGUGAAAUGCGUAGAGAUCGGGAGGAAUACCAGUGGCGAAGGCGGCCUUCUGGACUGACACUGACGCUGAGGUGCGAAAGCGUGGGGAGCAAACAGGAUUAGAUACCCUUGUAGUC
This 465-nucleotide ribosomal RNA is filed under the name Vreelandella stevensii. RNAcentral's name for it is "partial 16S ribosomal RNA". It matches the Rfam family "Bacterial small subunit ribosomal RNA", at positions 338 to 795 of the family's 1533-position model. Lineage: Bacteria; Pseudomonadati; Pseudomonadota; Gammaproteobacteria; Oceanospirillales; Halomonadaceae. The record is from RNAcentral.